This 770-nucleotide ribosomal RNA is filed under the name Barronopsis barrowsi. RNAcentral describes it as "SSU rRNA". It matches the Rfam family "Eukaryotic small subunit ribosomal RNA", at positions 986 to 1773 of the family's 1831-position model. Lineage: Eukaryota; Metazoa; Arthropoda; Arachnida; Araneae; Agelenidae. The record is from RNAcentral.
AAAGUUGAGGUUCGAAGGCGAUCAGAUACCGCCCUAGUUCUAACCAUAAACGAUGCCAGCCAGCGAUCCGGCUGUGUUCCUCAAAUGACACGCCGGGCAGCUUCCGGGAAACCAAAGCUUUUGGGUUCCGGGGGAAGUAUGGUUGCAAAGCUGAAACUUAAAGGAAUUGACGGAAGGGCACCACCAGGAAUGGAGCUUGCGGUUCAAUUUGACUCAACACGGGACAACCUACCCGGCCCGGACACAGGAAGGAUUGACAGAUUAAGAGCUCUUUCUUGAUUCUGUGGGUGGUGGUGCAUGGCCGUUCUUAGUUGGUGGACUGAUUUGUCUGGUUAAUUCCGUUAACGAACGAGACUCUAGCCUACUAAAUAGACGUUCCGAUUAUUUAUUUUUCGGACGUUCUUCUUAGAGGGACAAUCGGCGCUUAGCCCGAUGAGACAGAGCAAUAACAGGUCUGUUAUGCCCUUUGAUGUCCGGGGCCACACGCGUGCUACAUUGAAGGAAUCAGCGUGUGCUUUCCCUGUCCGACAGGACUGGGUAACCCGUUGAACCUCCUUCGUGCUGGGGAUAGGGGCUUGUAAUUAUUCCCCUUGAACGAGGAAUUCCUAGUAAGCGCGAAUCAUCAGUUCGUGUUGACUAAGUCCCUGCCCUUUGUCCACACCGCCCGUCGCUACUACCGAUUGAAUGAUUUAGUGAGGUCUUCGGACUGGCGCUCGGAGCGGCCUUCGGGUCGCGCCGGCGUGCCGGAAAGAUGACCAAACUUGAUCAUU